UACGAAAGGUGCAAGCGUUACUCGGAAUCACUGGGCGUAAAGCGCACGUAGGCGGACUUACAGGUCAAUUGUGAAAUACCUGGGCUCAACCCGGGAACUGCAGUUGAAACCGUUUGUCUUGAAUAUCUGAGAGGGUGGGGGAAUACCUGGUGGAGAAGUGAAAUUCGUAGAGAUCAGGUGGAACACCGGAGGCGAAGGCGGAUCUCUGGGCCAUUACUGACGCUGAGGAGCGAAAGCGUGGGGAGCGAACAGG
Molecule: ribosomal RNA, 253 nt
Filed under: uncultured bacterium
Lineage: Bacteria
Description: partial 16S ribosomal RNA
Rfam family: Bacterial small subunit ribosomal RNA
Source: RNAcentral